CCUACGGGAGGCAGCAGUGGGGGAUAUUGCACAAUGGGCGUAACCCUGAUCCAGCCACGUCGCGUGGGCGAAGAAGUACUUCCGUAUGUAAAGCCCCAUCAGCAGGGAAGCAGAUAUGAGGGUACCUGCGUCAGAAGCACCGGCUAAAUACGUGCCAGCAGCCGCGGUAAUACGUGGGGUGCAAGCGUUAUCCGGAUUUACUGGGUGUAAAGGGAGUGCAGGCGGGACGGCAAGCCUGUUGGGAAAGCCCGCGGGCCAACCGCGGGACUGCAUUGGGAACUGCCGGGCUGGAGUGCCGGAGAGGUAGGCGGAAUUCCUAGUGUAGCGGUGAAAUGCGUAGAUAGUAGGAUGAACACCAGUGGCGAAGGCGGCCUACUGGAGGGUGACUGACGCUGAGGCUCGAAAGCGUGGGGAGCAAACAGGAUUAGAUACCCGGGUAGUC
This 442-nucleotide ribosomal RNA is filed under the name uncultured bacterium. Its description in RNAcentral is "partial 16S ribosomal RNA". It matches the Rfam family "Bacterial small subunit ribosomal RNA", at positions 338 to 795 of the family's 1533-position model. The record is from RNAcentral.